GCCUCCGCCUCCGGCCCGCCCUCGUCUCCGCCCCUGCGGGGGCUGCUCGUUAGGCCCCGCCCUGCACCCCCGUCACCCACGCCGCGCGACCCGCAGCCGCCGCCAGGGCCCUCUGCUGCCGCGGAGGUGCUAGGACAGCCGCGGACGGCCCGCCUCCCCGUGCCCCGGGCCUCGAGGCCAAUAAAAAGCUCGCCCCUCCAGCUCACCGGGUCCGACGGGUACGGUACAAAGUGCUGUCUCUCGCCACAGCCACCUUUGUGACAAUAAAAGCAAUAAGGCUAAUGUCCAUGGGGCGCUCACGGUGAGCUUUAGCUUUAUGAUAAAGAUUGGCCUGUUACCUCGUUUAAUCUUCACAACUGCCCCAUCAACUAUGUACUCUUACUGUCCCCAGUUUAUGCAUGAACAGAGAAAGCUGAGAUACGGAGACUAGUGAUCCGUCGAGGUAAUAAACGGCACAGGUGGGGUUUGAACUCCAUCAGUUUGAUUGCAGAGGCCUGGAACAACCCUACAGCCUUCUCUCAGAUCUUUUCUGGACCUUUUUCUAUGCGCUUUGCACCUAGGACGUGAGGCUGCCAAGCUUGGUAUUCAAUAAAUAUUGAUGGAUGAAGGAACAAUGGAAGAAAGGAGUGCAUGGGUAAACAAAUGACAAAUAUGUCAAAGCACGGAUGCAGAUUCUUAGAAUGGGCUAAUGCUGUUUUCUGCUGGAUUUUUGGAUGUGUACAAACGAGUUCUCUCACAAUACAGAUCCACAGUGUCUGGGUCAGAGGAGAACUGAUGCUCCGCAUGGCAUUUUACCAUCCUGCCUGCCUGCCUGGGGCCCUGGGCCCACAGGCUUUGGGGAGAGUGUAUGGCCAGGCUGCAGCCUUCCUGGGAUAAAGCUCUGCCUUUUAGUCUCUUAUCCUACUUUUUAGAAGCCCUUUAAGGUCUUUGUUAAAGGAAAUCUAAUGUGAAGAAUUCCAGGAGAACUGGAUAAGCCUGACUAUGGGUGGGCGUGACUGAAUUACUUCCCGGGCUGGCUAAGGAAGGCCUCCCCCGAAGUGCAUCGGAAGCCUGCAGCUUCUCCUUAUGGCCACUGGAGGGCACUUGGACCAUGAAAUACCAGAUCGUCUCGGCGUCCCAGGUCUUUGGAAAUGUGUGAUUCAAUUCAGCAAACGUUUCAAAAUCAUCACUAUAAAGAUAGCGCUUUUGUGUUGAACAUCCAAUAUGGCGCUAAACACCUUAUAUAUAUGUGUGCGUGUAUAUAUGAACUUGCUUAAUAUUAACUACAAUUGUUGUGAGUUACUUAGGCUAUUUAGGAAAAAAAAAUCAAGGCUUAAAGAAGUCAAAGUACUUACCCAAGAUUGCUUAGCUAAAUAAAAUUUGGGAGUAAGGACUUGAACUCAAGCCCUUGGGCACCAACCAUAAGCAAUAGGUGCACACAAAGCUGAAAUGAGGACUCUCUUAUAAGCAGGAAGACGCACACACCACACAAAUAUUAUUGUUCCUCAACAAUUUACACAUUCUGAAAUUGGAAGAUGACUUACAAUUUGUACAUUACAUGGUAAUGUUUCUUUUUUCCCUUGAAAUGAUGUUAUUAAAUAAAUGAAGUGUCUCACAAU
This 1598-nucleotide long non-coding RNA is filed under the name Homo sapiens (human). RNAcentral's name for it is "DNPEP antisense RNA 1 (DNPEP-AS1)". The record is from RNAcentral. Lineage: Eukaryota; Metazoa; Chordata; Mammalia; Primates; Hominidae.